RNAcentral lists this ribosomal RNA (497 nucleotides) under uncultured bacterium. RNAcentral's name for it is "partial 16S ribosomal RNA". It matches the Rfam family "Bacterial small subunit ribosomal RNA", at positions 28 to 507 of the family's 1533-position model. The record is from RNAcentral.
GAUGAACGCUGGCGGCGUGCCUAAUACAUGCAAGUCGAGCGAACGGACGAGAAGCUUGCUUCUCUGAUGUUAGCGGCGGACGGGUGAGUAACACGUGGAUAACCUACCUAUAAGACUGGGAUAACUUCGGGAAACCGGAGCUAGUACCGGAUAAUAUUUUGAACCGCAUGGUUCAAAAGUGAAAGACGGUCUUGCUGUCACUUAUAGAUGGAUCCGCGCUGCAUUAGCUAGUUGGUAAGGUAACGGCUUACCAAGGCAACGAUGCAUAGCCGACCUGAGAGGGUUAUCGGCCACACUGGAACUGAGACACGGUCCAGACUCCUACGGGAGGCAGCAGUAGGGAAUCUUCCGCAAUGGGCGAAAGCCUGACGGAGCAACGCCGCGUGAGUGAUGAAGGUCUUCGGAUCGUAAAACUCUGUUAUUAGGGAAGAACAUAUGUGUAAGUAACUGUGCACAUCUUGACGGUACCUAAUCAGAAAGCCACGGCUAACUACGUG